GCCCCUGUAGCUCUCAGUUGGUUAGAGCGCUGCACCGGAAUCGCAGGGCCGUAGGUUCAAUUCCUACCAGAGGAC
Non-coding RNA from Paramuricea clavata, 75 nucleotides. Lineage: Eukaryota; Metazoa; Cnidaria; Anthozoa; Malacalcyonacea; Plexauridae. The record is from the annotation of a GenBank genome assembly.